Molecule: non-coding RNA, 162 nt
Filed under: Neurospora tetrasperma FGSC 2509
Lineage: Eukaryota; Fungi; Ascomycota; Sordariomycetes; Sordariales; Sordariaceae
Description: Eukaryotic large subunit ribosomal RNA
Rfam family: Eukaryotic large subunit ribosomal RNA
Source: Rfam by way of RNAcentral
UGACCUCGGAUCAGGUAGGAAUACCCGCUGAACUUAAGCAUAUCAAUAAGCGGAGGAAAAGAAACCAACAGGGAUUGCCCUAGUAACGGCGAGUGAAGCGGCAACAGCUCAAAUUUGAAAUCUGGCUUCGGCCCGAGUUGUAAUUUGUAGAGGAAGCUUUUG